UUACAGCCAAAAAAUGCAUUC
Molecule: non-coding RNA, 21 nt
Filed under: Caenorhabditis elegans
Lineage: Eukaryota; Metazoa; Nematoda; Chromadorea; Rhabditida; Rhabditidae
Source: RNAcentral